This 495-nucleotide ribosomal RNA is filed under the name uncultured bacterium. RNAcentral describes it as "partial 16S ribosomal RNA". It matches the Rfam family "Bacterial small subunit ribosomal RNA", at positions 28 to 507 of the family's 1533-position model. The record is from RNAcentral.
GACGAACGCUGGCGGCGUGCCUAAUACAUGCAAGUAGAACGCUGAAGGAGGAGCUUGCUCUUCUGGAUGAGUUGCGAACGGGUGAGUAACGCGUAGGUAACCUGCCUGGUAGCGGGGGAUAACUCUUGGAAACGAUAGCUAAUACCGCAUAAGAGUAGAUGUUGCAUGACAUUUACUUAAAAGGUGCAAUUGCAUCACUACCAGAUGGACCUUCGUUGUAUUAGCUAGUUGGUGGGGUAACGGCUUACCAAGGCGACGAUACAUAGCCGACCUGAGAGGGGGGACGGCCAAACUGGGACUGGGGCAAGGCCCAGACUCCUACGGGAGGGAGCAGGAGGGAAUCGUCGGCAAUGGGCGGAAGGCUGAACGGGCAACGCCGCGUGAGGGAAGAAGGGUUUCGGAUCGUAAAGAUCUGUUGUAAGAGAAGAAAGAGGGUGAGAGUGGAAAGUUCACACUGUGACGGUAUCUUACCAGAAAGGGACGGCUAACUACGUG